UUUACAGUAAGCUAAGUAUAAGCUAUUAAAUUUUUAAUUUAAUAAUGAAUUAAUUUUUCUUGUAUAA
RNAcentral lists this transfer RNA (67 nucleotides) under Psephenothrips eriobotryae. RNAcentral's name for it is "tRNA-Lys". The record is from RNAcentral. Lineage: Eukaryota; Metazoa; Arthropoda; Insecta; Thysanoptera; Phlaeothripidae.